AACGAACGCUGGCGGCAUGCCUAACACAUGCAAGUCGAACGAGACCUUCGGGUCUAGUGGCGCACGGGUGCGUAACGCGUGGGAACCUGCCCUUAGGUUCGGAAUAACUCCCCGAAAGGGGUGCUAAUACCGGAUAAUGUCUUCGGACCAAAGAUUUAUCGCCUUUGGAUGGGCCCGCGUUGGAUUAGCUAGUUGGUAGGGUAAAAGCCUACCAAGGCGACGAUCCAUAGCUGGUCUGAGAGGAUGAUCAGCCACACUGGGACUGAGACACGGCCCAGACUCCUCCGGGAGGCAGAAGGGGGGAAAAUUGGAAAAUGGGCGAAAGCCUGACCCCGCAAUGCCGCGGAAGUGAUGAAGGCUUUGGGGUUGUAAAGCUCUUUUACCCGGGAUGAAAAUGACAGCACCGGGAGAAUAAGCCCCGGCUAACUCCGG
RNAcentral lists this ribosomal RNA (432 nucleotides) under uncultured bacterium. RNAcentral's name for it is "partial 16S ribosomal RNA". It matches the Rfam family "Bacterial small subunit ribosomal RNA", at positions 29 to 506 of the family's 1533-position model. The record is from RNAcentral.